Molecule: ribosomal RNA, 492 nt
Filed under: uncultured bacterium
Lineage: Bacteria
Description: partial 16S ribosomal RNA
Rfam family: Bacterial small subunit ribosomal RNA
Source: RNAcentral
AGUGAACGCUGGCGGUAGGCCUAACACAUGCAAGUCGAACGGCAGCACAGUAAGAGCUUGCUCUUACGGGUGGCGAGUGGCGGACGGGUGAGGAAUACAUCGGAAUCUACUUUUUCGUGGGGGAUAACGUAGGGAAACUUACGCUAAUACCGCAUACGACCUACGGGUGAAAGCAGGGGAUCUUCGGACCUUGCGCGAUUGAAUGAGCCGAUGUCGGAUUAGCUAGUUGGCGGGGUAAAGGCCCACCAAGGCGACGAUCCGUAGCUGGUCUGAGAGGAUGAUCAGCCACACUGGAACUGAGACACGGUCCAGACUCCUACGGGAGGCAGCAGUGGGGAAGAUUGGACAAAGGGCGCAAGCCUGAUCCAGCCAUACCGCGUGGGUGAAGAAGGCCUUCGGGUUGUAAAGCCCUUUUGUUGGGAAAGAAAAGCAGCAGGUUAAUACCCCGCUGUUCUGACGGUACCCAAGGAAUAAGCACCGGCUAACUUCGUG